UACGUAGGGCGCAAGCGUUGUCCGGAAUUAUUGGGCGUAAAGAGCUCGUAGGCGGUUUGUCGCGUCUGCUGUGAAAACCUCAGGCUCAACCUGGGGCUUGCAGUGGGUACGGGCAGACUAGAGUGCGGUAGGGGUGACUGGAAUUCCUGGUGUAGCGGUGGAAUGCGCAGAUAUCAGGAGGAACACCGAUGGCGAAGGCAGGUCACUGGGCCGCAACUGACGCU
Molecule: ribosomal RNA, 224 nt
Filed under: uncultured bacterium
Lineage: Bacteria
Description: partial 16S ribosomal RNA
Rfam family: Bacterial small subunit ribosomal RNA
Source: RNAcentral